Molecule: RNA transcript, 1372 nt
Organism: Dioscorea cayenensis subsp. rotundata (Guinea yam)
Lineage: Eukaryota; Viridiplantae; Streptophyta; Magnoliopsida; Dioscoreales; Dioscoreaceae
Gene name: chromo domain-containing protein cec-1
Exons: 5
Source: RefSeq, a predicted model, not a curated record
AAAACCCCACAAAACAAAGAGACAAGUUCUUAUCUUCUCGAUUUCGCUCUCGAAGAGGGAGCAAGAGGACCCAUCGAUCGAUCGCCAUUUGAGAGGGAUUUGGAGCUCCAAUCAUGCCUUCUGGUGCGAAGAAGAGGAAAGCGGCCAAGAAGAAGAAGGAGAUGGCCGUCCCCCACCAACCGGAUUCACCUACCGAUCGUCCCCAUGGGAACGGGGAGCGGGAGAGUGGGAGCGAGGAGGAAGGAGAACGAGCUAUGGAGUCUCAUGGUGUUGAUGGGCCGGAGAACGGAGCCGGAGAGGAACAUCGGGAGGAGAUUAAGGAGGUGAUGGGUUCUGGUGAGGCUGGGGAUGUUUCUGUUGAGGCUGUUGAGGUUGUUGAGGUAGUUGAGGUCACGGAGAAGGUUGAGGAGAAGCCGGAGCCGGAGAAGGAGGAGGAGGAGGAGGAGGAUGGGCAGGUUGUUGCGGUUCCGAUCGUGCAAGUUAGUUCGGUGAAUGAGGAGGUGGUGGAGGCGAUCGAGGGCUUGGCGGAGGAGGCUGAUGCGGCUGUUGAAGCUGUGGUUCUGAAGGAGAUGGUCGAGAAGUCAGGGGCUAAAGAGAGCGAGGAGGUGAUUGUGGUGGCUGUGCCGGAGAAAAUAAGUGAACAGCCCUCGGAGAGUGGUGAGAGAUUGGCUGAGAAGAUCAGUGCACCGCCUAUGGAGAGUCCUGAGGAUACGCCGGUAGCUGUGCCGGAGAAGAUCGGUGAACAGCUUUCUGAGAGUGAUGAGAGAUUACCAGAGACGAAAAGUCGUGAAAUUCCUGGCACUGCUGAGGCUGAUCCUGCUCCGUUGGUUGCGCAUCGUGCAAAUCUCUGGAAUUGUUGUGGGCUGCUGGAGGUUUUCUUUGGCUCCCAAAGAUAAUAUCAGCUUUUGUGAUCCUCUCAAUCACAACCUACCUGCCUAUUAUAUUCCAUAGAUGACCUUUGUGGGUUUAUAUGAUAAUCAGGUCCCCAGAACCAUAUAUUCGAUCCACUAGGUAACUAAUCAUUUGAGGGAGAUCAUGAUUGGAUCUAGAAAGACAAGAUCAAAGCUUUUCCAAAUGACGAGAUGCUCUUCCGCUCCAAUGCUGGUAUCUGGAAGUUAAACCUUUCCUUUGAUUCUGUUCUGGUUGCAAUAGGCUAUUUGCACAUUAGUUCAUUUUGUUUUGUCUAAUUUUAAUAUUUUUGGCUGUUAAAAGGGUAUUGUUUAGUGAUUUGUUUGUCUAAGUUAUGUAUAGUUUCAUAGUAUAAUAAUGUGUACUCCAUAUAUUUCGUCUAUGGAGCAGGUUUUGGUUUUAUUUGUGCUGUCAUUGUUCUGAACUCUGAAGGUCAUACUUAAAAGUCAUAGAUGUGUGUUUU